UUUCCGUAGGUGAACCUGCGGAAGGAUCAUUACCGAGUGGAGGGCACUCGCUGCCCGACCUCAUACCCUCUGAUUUGAUUAAAGACCCGCUCGCUACCUCGGGUCCACUAGGGCAUUGCUGCCUCUAGAGUCCCGGUGGUAAUCUCUCAAACACGCUUAUUACUGUCGUCUAAGCAGAUGGAUUUUGAAUCGUUAAAAAACUUUCAACAACGGAUCUCUUGGCUCCAGCAUCGAUGAAGAACGCAGC
This 247-nucleotide unclassified non-coding RNA is filed under the name uncultured fungus. RNAcentral's name for it is "sequence contains ITS1, 5.8S rRNA gene". The stretch from base 199 to 247 matches the Rfam family "5.8S ribosomal RNA", at positions 1 to 49 of the family's 154-position model. The record is from RNAcentral. Lineage: Eukaryota; Fungi.